This 547-nucleotide ribosomal RNA is filed under the name fungal sp. RNAcentral describes it as "eukaryotic LSU rRNA". The stretch from base 190 to 343 matches the Rfam family "5.8S ribosomal RNA". Lineage: Eukaryota; Fungi. The record is from RNAcentral.
CGUAACAAGGUCUCCGUUGGUGAACCAGCGGAGGGAUCAUUACCGAGUUUACAACUCCCAAACCCCUGUGAACAUACCUAUUGUUGCCUCGGCGGAUCAGCCCGGCCCCGGUAAAACGGGACGGCCCGCCAGAGGACCCUAAACUCUGUUUUUAGUGUAACUUCUGAGUAAAACAAACAAAUAAAUCAAAACUUUCAACAACGGAUCUCUUGGUUCUGGCAUCGAUGAAGAACGCAGCAAAAUGCGAUAAGUAAUGUGAAUUGCAGAAUUCAGUGAAUCAUCGAAUCUUUGAACGCACAUUGCGCCCGCCAGUAUUCUGGCGGGCAUGCCUGUUCGAGCGUCAUUUCAACCCUCAAGCACAGCUUGGUGUUGGGAUUUGCGGAGUAAUUCGCAGUCCCCAAAUCUAUUGGCGGUCACGUCGAGCUUCCAUAGCGUAGUAAUUACACCUCGUUACUGGUAAUCGUCGCGGCCACGCCGUUAAACCCCAACUUCUGAAUGUUGACCUCGGAUCAGGUAGGAAUACCCGCUGAACUUAAGCAUAUCAAUA